Molecule: long non-coding RNA, 468 nt
Organism: Pipistrellus kuhlii (Kuhl's pipistrelle)
Lineage: Eukaryota; Metazoa; Chordata; Mammalia; Chiroptera; Vespertilionidae
Exons: 2
Source: RefSeq, a predicted model, not a curated record
GACAAUCUACUCUUCAUGUCCUAAAGUCUUACAGUUACCAAGUCUUUUUAUGAGUGUGCUGAUGGUGAGGGCCAGCCACAGGAUGAACCAGUCAUGCUAUUCAUCAAUCUGAAUUCAUAUCAAUUACCCAUUACUUAGGAGUUCUUCCAUCAGGUACAAUUAUAAAGGUAUAAGUUUUGUACCUUUACUGUUCCAAACACUUCAUCUUUAAUGUGGCCACCUCCGAACUCCUUUUUCAGAGUUGCUCUUGUUGCUGCAUACAACAUUUUUUGACGAACCUAUUAAAAUGUAAAAGUUUGCUUACAAGUUUAUAGAUAAAAACUACUAUUACAAAAGAAAGCACUUUCUAAAUAUAUUAAAAUCUUCAAGCACAUUAAAAAUGAACUGUAAUAAAGCUGAAAUCCACUGACUGUAAUUUAUUAAAGUAUGUAUCUACAAAUAAACAUUAUAACACCAGUGUCUAAACUA